This 468-nucleotide ribosomal RNA is filed under the name uncultured bacterium. RNAcentral describes it as "partial 16S ribosomal RNA". It matches the Rfam family "Bacterial small subunit ribosomal RNA", at positions 28 to 507 of the family's 1533-position model. The record is from RNAcentral.
GACGAACGCUGGCGGCGUGCUUAACACAUGCAAGUCGAACGGAAAGGCCCUGCUUUUGUGGGGUGCUCGAGUGGCGAACGGGUGAGUAACACGUGAGUAACCUGCCCUUGACUUUGUGAUAACUUCAGGAAACUGGGGCUAAUACCGGAUAGGAGCUCCUGCUGCAUGGUGGGGGUUGGAAAGUUUCGGCGGUUGGGGAUAGACUCGCGGCUUAUCAGCUUGUUGGUGGGGUAGUGUCUUACCAAGGUUUUGACGGGUAGGCGACCUGAGAGGGUGACCGGCCACAUUGGGACUGAGAUACGGCCCAGACUCCUACGGGGGGCAGCAGUGGGGAAUAUUGCACAAUGGGCGGAAGCCUGAUGCAGCAACGCCGCGUGCGGGAUGACGGCCUUCGGGUUGUAAACCGCUUUCUCCUGUGACGAAGCGUGAUUGACGGUAAUGAGUAAAGAAGCACCGGCUAACUACGUG